UCUUCACUGGCAUCCCUCACCUGGUGAAGGAAAGAGAGGAAGAAGAAGCUAGAGCAAAGUGAGAUGCAGCCACCUCCCUGCACUUCUCAAGAUAAAUCAUCAGCAGAUUAAAUCCCUCCUCCAGAAAAGAUGCAGCAGUGGAAGAGCACAGCGAGAAAACUGCCAGCCUGCAGUAGAGGGGAACAAACCUGGCACUUAGAGCUGAGAGUCUAAAUGCCUAGGUGCUGGAAGCCAGUGUUCAAAGAUACUUGGGUACCUGGCGGUAGCCUUGAAGGAGAAUGCCCCCUGAUCUGACUCCAGGGACUCACUAACUUUGGGAGCAAUGGCUGUGGGAUGCAAGAAACAGCAGCUUCACCAAGGUAGAGCCUACUUACCACCAGAAACACCUAAUGGCCAUGAUUUUCACAACAGCCAAGUGAAUGGAAAACUGCUUGCUUUGGGUUUGCUUUCCCUCAAUAAAG
Molecule: long non-coding RNA, 461 nt
Organism: Apus apus (common swift)
Lineage: Eukaryota; Metazoa; Chordata; Aves; Apodiformes; Apodidae
Exons: 3
Source: RefSeq, a predicted model, not a curated record